This 337-nucleotide unclassified non-coding RNA is filed under the name soil metagenome. RNAcentral describes it as "partial contains 5.8S ribosomal RNA, internal transcribed spacer 2, and large subunit ribosomal RNA". The stretch from base 1 to 120 matches the Rfam family "5.8S ribosomal RNA", at positions 35 to 154 of the family's 154-position model. The record is from RNAcentral.
GAUGAAGAACGUAGUGAAAUGCGAUAAGUAAUGUGAAUUGCAGAAUUCAGUGAAUCAUCGAAUCUUUGAACGCACAUUGCGCCCGCCAGUAUUCUGGCGGGCAUGCCUGUCUGAGCGUCAUUUCAACCCUCAAGCAACUUCUGCUUGGUGUUGGGGAUCGGCCGUAAACGCCGCCCCCGAAAUCUAUUGGCGAUCUCGCUGUAGCUUCCUAUGCGUAGUAGUAACAUCUCGCAUCUGGAGAGCGGCGCGGUCAUGCCGUAAAACACCCAACUUCUCAGGUUGACCUCAGAUCAGGUAGGAAUACCCGCUGAACUUAAGCAUAUCAAUAAGCGGAGGA